This 80-nucleotide ribozyme is filed under the name unclassified sequences. Its description in RNAcentral is "HDV ribozyme from F. prausnitzii". It matches the Rfam family "HDV ribozyme from F. prausnitzii". The record is from RNAcentral.
GCUGCUCGAAACUUUGCACACCUCUCCGUGGUGAGCAGCAGGCAACACAGUAAUAUGAUACUGUGGCUAAGAAUGCGAAG